Molecule: non-coding RNA, 197 nt
Organism: Glossina austeni
Lineage: Eukaryota; Metazoa; Arthropoda; Insecta; Diptera; Glossinidae
Source: Rfam
AUGUCCCACCAUUGAAAGCGUGUUAACGACAACCAGCCUCCGCGAAGUAAUACGUAACGGUGGUCCCGCGGGGGAGAGUGGUAGAAGAAGCGUGUGGAAGAGGAGGUAGUUUUUAGUACGUAAGCGCCGUAGAUGCCGAAUCGUGCAUGAUGCUACUAAGAACCACCAGUAUCUUUUGAAGAUUUUCUACCGCCAGC